AGAUUGAACGCUGGCGGCAGGCCUAACACAUGCAAGUCGAGCGGCAGCACGGGUACUUGUACCUGGUGGCGAGCGGCGGACGGGUGAGUAAUGCCUAGGAAUCUGCCUGGUAGUGGGGGAUAACGCUCGGAAACGGACGCUAAUACCGCAUACGUCCUACGGGAGAAAGCAGGGGACCUUCGGGCCUUGCGCUAUCAGAUGAGCCUAGGUCGGAUUAGCUAGUUGGUGAGGUAAUGGCUCACCAAGGCGACGAUCCGUAACUGGUCUGAGAGGAUGAUCAGUCACACUGGAACUGAGACACGGUCCAGACUCCUACGGGAGCAGCAGGUGGGGGAAAUAUUGGACAAGUGGGG
RNAcentral lists this ribosomal RNA (353 nucleotides) under uncultured soil bacterium. RNAcentral describes it as "bacterial SSU rRNA". It matches the Rfam family "Bacterial small subunit ribosomal RNA", at positions 26 to 377 of the family's 1533-position model. The record is from RNAcentral.